This 441-nucleotide ribosomal RNA is filed under the name uncultured bacterium. RNAcentral describes it as "partial 16S ribosomal RNA". It matches the Rfam family "Bacterial small subunit ribosomal RNA", at positions 338 to 795 of the family's 1533-position model. The record is from RNAcentral.
CCUACGGGUGGCAGCAGUCGGGAAUAUUGCGCAAUGGAGGAAACUCUGACGCAGUGACGCCGCGUGCAGGAAGAAGGUUUUCGGAUUGUAAACUGCUUUAGACAGGGAAGAAAAAAGACAGUACCUGUAGAAUAAGCUCCGGCUAACUACGUGCCAGCAGCCGCGGUAAUACGGAGGGAGCAAGCGUUAUCCGGAUUUAUUGGGUGUAAAGGGUGCGUAGACGGAGAAGCAAGUUAGUUGUGAAAUCCCUCGGCUUAACUGAGGAACUGCAACUAAAACUACUUCCCUUGAGUACUGGAGAGGAAAGUGGAAUGCGCAGUGUAGCGGUGAAAUGCUUAGAUAUUGCGCAGAACUCCGAUUGCGAAGGUAGCAUACCGGCGGCGAUCUGACGCUGAGGCACGAAAGCGUGGGUAUCGAACAGGAUUAGAUACCCCAGUAGUC